AGACAAUACAGAGGAGCUCCAUGAAAGACAUGGGUAGUGAGAUGUACACUGUCUCUAAUCACCUUGCUAUCAUGUCUUUCCAUGGAGAACUCUUAUCGAUA
This 101-nucleotide microRNA precursor is filed under the name Capitella teleta. Its description in RNAcentral is "microRNA cte-mir-71 precursor". Its record names the gene cte-mir-71. The stretch from base 16 to 88 matches the Rfam family "mir-71 microRNA precursor family". The record is from miRBase by way of RNAcentral. Lineage: Eukaryota; Metazoa; Annelida; Polychaeta; Capitellidae.